Molecule: ribosomal RNA, 543 nt
Filed under: uncultured bacterium
Lineage: Bacteria
Description: bacterial SSU rRNA
Rfam family: Bacterial small subunit ribosomal RNA
Source: RNAcentral
AAUAGAUACCCGGGUAGUCCACCCCGUAAACGUUGGGAACUAGUUGUGGGGUCCAUUCCACGGAUUCCGUGACGCAGCUAACGCAUUAAGUUCCCCGCCUGGGGAGUACGGCCGCAAGGCUAAAACUCAAAGGAAUUGACGGGGACCCGCACAAGCGGCGGAGCAUGCGGAUUAAUUCGAUGCAACGCGAAGAACCUUACCAAGGCUUGACAUAUACGAGAACGGGCCAGAAAUGGUCAACUCUUUGGACACUCGUAAACAGGUGGUGCAUGGUUGUCGUCAGCUCGUGUCGUGAGAUGUUGGGUUAAGUCCCGCAACGAGCGCAACCCUCGUUCUAUGUUGCCAGCACGUAAUGGUGGGAACUCAUGGGAUACUGCCGGGGUCAACUCGGAGGAAGGUGGGGAUGACGUCAAAGUCAUCAUGCCCCUUAUGUCUUGGGCUUCACGCAUGCUACAAUGGCCGGUACAAAGGGCUGCAAUACCGCGAGGCGGAGCGAAUCCCAAAAAGCCGGUCCAGUUCGGAUUGAGGUCUGCAACUCGACUC